AAUCAGCUCCUGCUGCUCCCUGGCACCUGGGCAGGUUAACGUGGAUUACGCUAACCCAGGCAAAAAAAAGCCAGCAUUGCAUGGAAGUAGAUCCAACGCAGCUGGAAAACGGACUGCAGGGGGCCUACGCCCUCCCAGGAUUAUAUGUAAAUGUUGUGGACAGAGCGCCUUUCCCCGAUUCUACCAUCUGAAUGGGCAAAAUUUGCUAGUAACACAGAAGUAAGCUGCACUCCCCUGGUGUCUGAGAAGCUGCAUAAUAAAAUACAGAGACUUUGAUUCCACUGGAUUUUUGCUGCAGCUUGGGUACAAGAAGCGAUAAAACCUGAGAGAAAAUAAACAGAAAAUGCCUUAAAUUCAAACUGAAUUCCUUUAACAGCCCCGUUUCCCCACUGAUUGUCGCAAGACUAAAACUGGUCUAGACCUUCCUACCUGGAAUUGCUUAGUGUACAGUAACAAUUGUUCUUCCUAAUGGAUUUUAACACGUGAUGGAAAGAAUUUUUCUUCCCUUUUAUCUCGCCUCCUUUGAUGGGAAAAUUACCCCCCUACUGUGAGUUACAACAGGGCGGUUAACCAUUACAGAAAGCAAUUUCAGGGUGAGGGAAGUCAAAUAUGCUGCUGUUACUGGUUAACAGUUAAAUUUCUCUACUUGCUGCUGGUUUUCUUCUAUCUAAUAAAGGGGAGAACCAACCAU
Molecule: long non-coding RNA, 691 nt
Filed under: Strigops habroptila (Kakapo)
Lineage: Eukaryota; Metazoa; Chordata; Aves; Psittaciformes; Psittacidae
Description: lncRNA (ENSSHBG00005000079.1)
Source: RNAcentral